UCUUCUUUCUUUAUAUUGUUUGAGCUUGAUGCCUCCCCCUUUGUGGGAGUUGGUGAAGCAGGUAUGCCUCUUUUCAUUUGGAUAUAGUUUUUAGCCUUUGGGUCAAUAUAAUAAUCUGGUCCUAAUACCUUCCUUGCCCAAAGUAAGGCCUCAUCUAUACUGUAAUAUCUUUUGAAUGUUAAAUCUUGUCCAUUUCUUUUUGCAUCUAAUUUUUCAAUCAUAAUAUUCUCCCAUUCCAAAUAUAUGCCAGGUUUGUUUCCAUCAAAUAUAAGAUAUAGAGUUUCUCCUUUUGGUAUUUCAACCUUUGCUGGCUUUGGCACAUUUUUGUUUAAUUCAUUAAAAUAUUCAGCCAAACUGUUGAGAAUUGAUAAAAAAUAUCCUUGUUCCUCUCUUUUGCGAGUAUAUUGGAACCAAAAGUUAUCCAAUAUGCAUCUUUGAGCUUCAUCGAGCUUAAUAUGGGAUUUUGGCUUAAAAUUGAAUGUAUUUGGCUGAAACAUUUUCAGCCUAUUUUCUUCUCCAAAGAAGAGAUAUUCAUCCUUGUUGGCGAAUAAUCCUUUCCUCAUUCCUGCAAAUUUGAUGCACGAGAAAAUAUGUCAGAAUUCAAGGGGAUCUGGACUUGUGCUAUAUUCAUCAUCUAAAUUAGAUAUUUCUACAUUUUG
Molecule: long non-coding RNA, 659 nt
Organism: Triticum dicoccoides
Lineage: Eukaryota; Viridiplantae; Streptophyta; Magnoliopsida; Poales; Poaceae
Exons: 2
Source: RefSeq, a predicted model, not a curated record